This 247-nucleotide unclassified non-coding RNA is filed under the name Hevea brasiliensis (rubber tree). Lineage: Eukaryota; Viridiplantae; Streptophyta; Magnoliopsida; Malpighiales; Euphorbiaceae. The record is from RNAcentral.
UUCUUUUUUUAACUUAAAAAAUCCCAAGGUGGCUAGGUUAACAAUACUCUCCUAAUAGAAGAAAAGGUGUUUACUAAAAAGUCUCCAAAUUUUAAACUUUCUAUUUAAUAAAUUAAUUAAACCCAAAAUUGACUAGUAUACUAAUGUUUUAAAUGGAAAACCUGUCCUUAUUAAAAACUAAAAUUUCUCACUUUUUAAGAAGCAGGGCUUGUUUACUUUCUGCUAUUCAUUUUCCAUUUUCUAGGAA